This 460-nucleotide ribosomal RNA is filed under the name uncultured bacterium. RNAcentral describes it as "partial 16S ribosomal RNA". It matches the Rfam family "Bacterial small subunit ribosomal RNA", at positions 338 to 795 of the family's 1533-position model. The record is from RNAcentral.
CCUACGGGCGGCAGCAGUGAGGAAUAUUGGUCAAUGGACGAGAGUCUGAACCAGCCAAGUAGCGUGAAGGAUGACUGCCCUAUGGGUUGUAAACUUCUUUUAUAUGGGAAUAAAAUGUUCCACGUGUGGGAUUUUGUAUGUACCAUAUGAAUACGGAUCGGCUAAAUCCGUGCCAGCAGCCGCGGUAAUACGGAGGAUCCGAGCGUUAUCCGGAUUAAUUGGGUUUAAAGGGAGCGUAGGUGGAUUGUUAAGUAAGUUGUGAAAGGUUGCGGCUCAACCGUAAAAUUGCAGUGGAAACUGGCAGUCUUGAGUACAGUAGAGGUGGGCGGAAGUCGUGGUGUAGCGGUGAAAUGCGUAGAUAUCACGAAGAACUCCGAUUGCGAAGGCAGUUCACUGGACUGCAACUGACACUGAGGCUCGAAAGUGUGGGUAUCAAACAGGAUUAGAUACCCCUGUAGUC